UUGACAUCCAGAGAAUUUAGCAGAGAUGCUUUAGUGCCUUCGGGAACUCUGAGACAGGUGCUGCAUGGCUGUCGUCAGCUCGUGUUGUGAAAUGUUGGGUUAAGUCCGCAACGAGCGCAACCCUUAUCCUUUGUUGCCAGCACGUAAUGGUGGGAACUCAAAGGAGACUGCCGGUGAUAAACCGGAGGAAGGUGGGGAUGACGUCAAGUCAUCAUGGCCCUUACGAGUAGGGCUACACACGUGCUACAAUGGCGCAUACAAAGAGAAGCGACCUCGCGAGAGCAAGCGGACCCCAUAAAGUGCGUCGUAGUCCGGAUUGGAGUCUGCAACUCGACUCCAUGAAGUCGGAAUCGCUAGUAAUCGUAAAUCAGAAUGUUACGGUGAAUACGUUCCCGGGCCUUGUACACACCGCCCGUCACACCAUGGGAGUGGGUUGCAAAAGAAGUAGAUAGCUUAACCUUCGGGAGGGCGUUUACCACUUUGUGAUUCAUGACUGGGGUGAAGUCGUAACAAGGUAAGCGUAGUGCU
This 528-nucleotide ribosomal RNA is filed under the name uncultured bacterium. RNAcentral's name for it is "bacterial SSU rRNA". It matches the Rfam family "Bacterial small subunit ribosomal RNA", at positions 981 to 1509 of the family's 1533-position model. The record is from RNAcentral.